Molecule: long non-coding RNA, 1349 nt
Organism: Cercocebus atys (sooty mangabey)
Lineage: Eukaryota; Metazoa; Chordata; Mammalia; Primates; Cercopithecidae
Exons: 3
Source: RefSeq, a predicted model, not a curated record
AUUCAUUCAACAAACAUUUCUAAGUGUCCAUGGUGACCCAGACAUCAUGGGAACCUUGGGGUUUCAGAGUUGAGUAGAACACGACUCCCAUCCUUAGGGAUUCACCAUCCAGUAGAGGAGAAAGACGUCUAGACAGAAGACAAAAGGGAAGGAAAAGCUCGAUGCUGUGCCUUCAGCUCAGCUUCUCCAUUUUUUAGAGAAGGGUUAAUGGGGCAAGCAGAGAGAGAGAUGAGAGAUCAAACUUUCCAGGGCCUUUGUCUCCAGAGCAGAGGGUCUCAAACCUUAGUGAGCAAAAACUGAUCCAGAAGACUUGUUGGAGGCGUAGCUUCCAGUUCAGCAAGCCUGUUUCAGCAGAUUGGAGAUCCCGUGUCUGCAGCACGUGCUGAUCGCCAAGGGUGAGGCUGGAUGAAGCCAGAGGCUAUGGAAAGGAGACUGUUUCAGAGGACUUGACACCAUCUUCAGUAAUUUCUCUGGUUCUUGGCAGCUCCAUUUGGCUGUGUCCCUACCCUGCACAACCCUCCCAUGCAGUCUACUCCAGGGCAGCGUCCAGCUGGUGACCUGAGAGGGCAGCGGUGCGCCAGUCUCCAUGAAGGUUGAGCUCGGAUGGCCAACAGCAAUUUUCACCCUGUGGUCUACAGCUCUUCAUCCUGAUUGCAUGGAGAUUGGUCUCUCUCUUCAGCUGGAUUGAGGCCACCAUCUGAGCCCCCGGGGUACGUUUUGUCUGACCCUGGCACCAUUCGGUUCUUCUACAGCAUCAGGCAUUCACCUGGCUUGUAGGGCUUUUGUGCUGUAGGCCUGUAUUUCCAGCUACUUUUGGAAAAAAUCUCUCUGGAGUCCCAAUGAGCUGGUCACAUCAGCCUGUCCAGAGGUAAAGCACAUUUCCCUGCCCUCGCGUGCCUCUCCCUUGCUGUCUUUCACUUAAUCAAGGCACACAACACCCUCUACAAUGCUGAGCAUGCUCAGGUCCUCCUGGGCUUCAUGGCGUCUUUCUUUUUCCUUAUUCCAUUGGCCUAAUCUGAUUGAAUUUACAUUUUGCACAUUUUGCAUUAGUAAUUCUCUUGCAUGAAUCUCUUUCUCUUCCUCCCUUCUGCCAUCACUAGCUCUUGUCCUCUCCUUUCUGGACUGUAGAAUAAUCUCUUUGGUGGUCUUUCUGUGGUCUUCCCUUCCCCUCCACUAAAUCUACUCUCAUUCAGUAUCAAGAAAUACUUAAUCAGCAAUGAAUACUCUCCACCCAGCCCCUGACCCAUUGUCAGUCUCUGACAUCAGCUCCUCUCCAGCACAGCAAAGUGCAACUGCAGCCAGCUCAUGCCUUCAAGAGAAGGACUGAAGAUCAUUGUGUGCCUGAACCA